RNAcentral lists this ribosomal RNA (360 nucleotides) under Klebsiella pneumoniae. Its description in RNAcentral is "bacterial SSU rRNA". It matches the Rfam family "Bacterial small subunit ribosomal RNA", at positions 42 to 398 of the family's 1533-position model. Lineage: Bacteria; Pseudomonadati; Pseudomonadota; Gammaproteobacteria; Enterobacterales; Enterobacteriaceae. The record is from RNAcentral.
GCGGGCCCAACACAUUGCAAGUUCGAGCGGUAGCACAGAGAGCUUGCUCUCGGGUGACGAGCGGCGGACGGGUGAGUAAUGUCUGGGAAACUGCCUGAUGGAGGGGGAUAACUACUGGAAACGGUAGCUAAUACCGCAUAACGUCGCAAGACCAAAGUGGGGGACCUUCCGGCCUCAUGCCAUCAGAUGUGCCCAGAUGGGAUUAGCUAGUAGGUGGGGUAACGGCUCACCUAGGCGACGAUCCCUAGCUGGUCUGAGAGGAUGACCAGCCACACUGGAACUGAGACACGGUCCAGACUCCUACGGGAGGCAGCAGUGGGGAAUAUUGCACAAUGGGCGCAAGCCUGAUGCAGCCAUGCC